UUUUGUGGUCAAAUAAGAGUCUGUUUGUUUUUAUUUAUUUUUUUAAUUAUAUUGUAAUAAUUUUUACUAAGUCAUUUUUUAUAAAAAAUUUAAAUAAAAAUUUGGUUUGAAUAAUUAUUUUUAAAAUGUUAUUUUAGAUAUUUUAUUAAUUUAUUAAAAAAAAUUUAAAUAUCAAAAUUUUAAUAAAUCACUUAAUUUUUAAGUUAUUUCAAAUGAUUUUUCAUAAAAUUUAUUUUAGAUACAACUUUUUUAAAAAAUUACGAUUUAGACUAUGUUUUGAUCUUCAAUAAUAUAUAUUUAUAUUAUAAAAUAUCAAAAUUAGUCUUUCAAUUAAAAAAAAUGAAUAUUAAAAAACUUAUAAUAUUUUUAAAAACAAUUUUGUAAAAUUUAUUUUUAAAAAUUAAAAAAAAAAACAAUUUUUUUAAAGCUAAAACACACAAACUCUAAAUUUAUCUCU
This 457-nucleotide long non-coding RNA is filed under the name Lathyrus oleraceus (garden pea). Its description in RNAcentral is "Pisum sativum (pea) long non-coding RNA (PSAT_LNC010153)". The record is from RNAcentral. Lineage: Eukaryota; Viridiplantae; Streptophyta; Magnoliopsida; Fabales; Fabaceae.